AAUCUUGUAUUCAAUUAAUGAUUUUAAAUUGCAAAUUUAAAGGUACAGUUUUAGUCUUGAUUU
Molecule: transfer RNA, 63 nt
Filed under: Bambusiphaga furca
Lineage: Eukaryota; Metazoa; Arthropoda; Insecta; Hemiptera; Delphacidae
Description: tRNA-Cys
Source: RNAcentral